This 576-nucleotide ribosomal RNA is filed under the name uncultured bacterium. Its description in RNAcentral is "partial 16S ribosomal RNA". It matches the Rfam family "Bacterial small subunit ribosomal RNA", at positions 355 to 926 of the family's 1533-position model. The record is from RNAcentral.
UGGGGAAUUUUGGACAAUGGGGGAAACCCUGAUCCAGCCAUCCCGCGUGUGCGAUGAAGGCCUUCGGGUUGUAAAGCACUUUUGGCAGGAAAGAAACGUCGCGGGUUAAUACCCCGCGAAACUGACGGUACCUGCAGAAUAAGCACCGGCUAACUACGUGCCAGCAGCCGCGGUAAUACGUAGGGUGCAAGCGUUAAUCGGAAUUACUGGGCGUAAGCGUGCGCAGGCGGUUCGGAAAGAAAGAUGUGAAAUCCCAGAGCUUAACUUUGGAACUGCAUUUUUAACUACCGGGCUAGAGUGUGUCAGAGGGAGGUGGAAUUCCGCGUGUAGCAGUGAAAUGCGUAGAUAUGCGGAGGAACACCGAUGGCGAAGGCAGCCUCCUGGGAUAACACUGACGCUCAUGCACGAAAGCGUGGGAGCAAACAGGAUUAGAUACCCUGGUAGUCCACGCCCUAAACGAUGUCAACUAGCUGUUGGGGCCUUCGGGCCUUGGUAGCGCAGCUAACGCGUGAAGUUGACCGCCUGGGGAGUNCGGUCGCAAGAUUAAAACUUAAAUGAAUUGACGGGGUCAUACUG